RNAcentral lists this ribosomal RNA (778 nucleotides) under uncultured Neocallimastigales. Its description in RNAcentral is "partial large subunit ribosomal RNA". It matches the Rfam family "Eukaryotic large subunit ribosomal RNA", at positions 23 to 635 of the family's 3401-position model. The record is from RNAcentral. Lineage: Eukaryota; Fungi; Neocallimastigomycota; Neocallimastigomycetes; Neocallimastigales.
AGAGAGAGACAUGCGCGCAUAUCAAUAAGCGGAGGAAAAGAAACUAACUAGGAUUCCCUCAGUAACGGCGAGUGAAGCGGGAAGAGCUCAAAUUUGAAAUCUUCAAGGUUCUACCUUGACGAAUUGUAGUUUAAAGAAGUGUUUUCUGUUGGAGUUUUGGUAAAAGUUCUUUGGAAUAGGACAUCAUAGAGGGUGAGAAUCCCGUAUUUGACCAUUAUUUCCAGCUUUGUGAUACACUUUCAAAGAGUCGGAUUGUUUGGGAAUGCAGUCCAAAAUGGGUGGUAAAUUUCAUCUAAAGCUAAAUAUUGGCGAGAGACCGAUAGCGAACAAGUACCGUGAGGGAAAGAUGAAAAGAACUUUGAAAAGAGAGUUAAACAGUACGUGAAAUUGUCAAAAGGGAAGCGUUUGACACCAGUGUUGUUUUCUCGAAAAUCAAUUAAAAAAGGCAGGAUUUUGUGUUGUAUUGACUUUAUCAGCUUUCUGCACUCUUUUCUUGUCUUUUUUAAUGCACUUUUCGUUUAACAAGUCAACAUCAGUUUCUUUUGUUGUAAAAAGGGUCAUUGGAAGGUGGCUUUCUUUUCGGAGAAAGUGUUUAUAGCCUUUGGCCUCUGCAAUCGGAGAGAUUGAGGUCUGCAGCGUAGAUCCUUCGGGGUUAGAUACAUUUGUGCUAAGUUAUAGCCCUUUCUAUAGACAACUUGUUGACUAUGAUUUAGUCUUGUAGCUUACUCGCUUAUGUUAUUUUACCUACGCUUAGGAUGUUGAUGUGAUACUGCGAGCA